CAACCCUCAAGCACCGCUUGGUUUUGGGGCCCCACGGCACACGUGGGCCCUUAAAGGUAGUGGCGGACCCUCCCGGAGCCUCCUUUGCGUAGUAACUAACGUCUCGCACUGGGAUCCGGAGGGACUCUUGCCGUAAAACCCCCAAAUUUUUUACAGG
Molecule: ribosomal RNA, 157 nt
Filed under: Colletotrichum acutatum
Lineage: Eukaryota; Fungi; Ascomycota; Sordariomycetes; Glomerellales; Glomerellaceae
Description: partial its2
Source: RNAcentral